UGGCAGCUGUUCCGAUUGUAUCGCUUGCAUGAGAGACCUCUGAGCUUGGCAUCUGAGGAUAACAUCUGUCACUCAUCCAGCACUUUAAGACAAUGAGUACAAAGAAAAUGUAUUGAUUCUGAACGUGGCGUGCCCUUGCUGGCUGGACCCAUGACGGAGGAAAAGUUUGCAGGACUUAUGGCAUGGAGUUGCUUCUUCCAUUCUCCGAUCCAGGCGAAUCCAGCAGAAGGGUGUUUGUAAUUACUGUUUGAAGGAGAAAGGCGAGGAUGGGGCGGUCUUUAUCAGAACAGACACUGGUGCCUCAGAUCCUCAUUCAUGUCUCCACUUCCUAGUUGGAUUACCGUCUUCCGUGUUCGUGUGCUGGAUUGUGUUCGUGUUGUCGUCUUCGUGUCAGUGUUCCGGUCUGUUCCUGGUUUCAUCCAUUGACCGUCUUCACCUUCACCUUCGACUUCACCAUCCAGCUCUUCUCACGCCACCGUAGACCUUCGUUUCCAUUGCCUACAUUCUGGACUCUGAUAUCAAUAAACUUCUUCUGAUUGCCUGCAAUUGCUUCCUCCUCUUUUACAAGCCGU
This is a long non-coding RNA of Cyprinus carpio carpio, 572 nucleotides long. Lineage: Eukaryota; Metazoa; Chordata; Actinopteri; Cypriniformes; Cyprinidae. The record is from Ensembl.